Molecule: microRNA precursor, 84 nt
Filed under: Bombyx mori (domestic silkworm)
Lineage: Eukaryota; Metazoa; Arthropoda; Insecta; Lepidoptera; Bombycidae
Description: mir-2807 microRNA precursor family
Rfam family: mir-2807 microRNA precursor family
Source: Rfam by way of RNAcentral
UUAACUUCAAUUUGUAUGGAGCCGGAACGUUUGGCCACGUUAGCCGCUAGGGGUGCUAUUCCAACUGCAUACCAUUUCGAGUUA